Molecule: ribosomal RNA, 403 nt
Filed under: uncultured bacterium
Lineage: Bacteria
Description: bacterial SSU rRNA
Rfam family: Bacterial small subunit ribosomal RNA
Source: RNAcentral
CGGGAAUAUUGGGCAAUGGGCGAAAGCCUGACCCAGCGACGCCGCGUGAGGGAAGAAGGCCUUCGGGUCGUAAACCUCUGUCAUCGGGGACGAAGGAAGUGACGGUACCCGAGGAGGAAGCCCCUGCUAACUACGUGCCAGCAGCCGCGGUAAUACGUAGGGGGCGAGCGUUGUCCGGAGUUAUUGGGCGUAAAGGGCGUGUAGGCGGCCUGUUAAGUCAGGUGUGAAAUUUCAGGGCUCAACCCUGAAACUGCGUUUGAAACUGGCAGGCUUGAGGACAGGAGAGGGAAGUGGAAUUCCCGGUGUAGCGGUGGAAUGCGUAGAUAUCGGGAGGAACACCAGUGGCGAAGGCGGCUUCCUGGACUGUACCUGACGCUGAGGCGCGAAAGCUAGGGGAGCAAAC